CUGGGCCUCAGCUUCCCCACUGGCAAAACCUUGGAUGCAUCGCUUUGCUGCAGAUGUGUGAGGUAUGGCAUUCUGGCAGGAUUUACUUCACCCAACUGUGAGUUUCUGGAUUUCAGACGAUCCUCAAGCAUUUUGGGAAGGAGAAUAUUAUGCCCAGUUGAAAGACAGAAAACUGAGGCCAGAGUGACAUAUUUUUGAAAGUGAAAGAAACCUUGGAAAUCAUCAACCUCCUUGUGCAGAGAGUCCCUUGGUCUGCAAGGAGAUCAAACCAGUCAAUCCUAAAGGAAAUCAACCC
Long non-coding RNA from Cervus elaphus (red deer), 295 nucleotides. RefSeq lists it as uncharacterized. NCBI's taxonomy places the organism in Eukaryota, Metazoa, Chordata, Mammalia, Artiodactyla, Cervidae. The transcript is spliced from 3 exons. The record is from RefSeq and is a predicted model, not a curated record.